GCCGGGAUAGCCUAGCCAGGUAAGGCGCAGGCCUGGAGAGCCUGUGGGCGUUUGCCCUCGUGGGUUCAAAUCCCACUCCCGGCG
Molecule: transfer RNA, 84 nt
Filed under: Thermoproteota archaeon
Lineage: Archaea; Thermoproteati; Thermoproteota
Description: Crenarchaeota archaeon (sediment metagenome) tRNA-Ser
Rfam family: tRNA
About the family: Transfer RNA (tRNA) molecules are approximately 80 nucleotides in length. Their secondary structure includes four short double-helical elements and three loops (D, anti-codon, and T loops).
Source: RNAcentral